UGCCAUUUAAAAAAAAAUUCCGCAAAAAUCUGUGUUUUUCGAUAAACUUUUUUGGCAUUACGGAUUUUUUAUUUUUUGGGGAGAGGCUGUGGGAAUCAUAGAAGUGGGGUUACAUGUCGUGCGGCGGUGUGACAAAAGUGACUGUGGACAUUAUAUUCAUAACUGCGUGCGCAUCAAUCUGGAAACCUUAAACUAAUAUAUUACAUAAACAACAUACCUGUGGUUUCUUUCGUCUGUGUUAAU
Molecule: non-coding RNA, 243 nt
Organism: Paramuricea clavata
Lineage: Eukaryota; Metazoa; Cnidaria; Anthozoa; Malacalcyonacea; Plexauridae
Source: the annotation of a GenBank genome assembly